This 438-nucleotide ribosomal RNA is filed under the name uncultured bacterium. Its description in RNAcentral is "bacterial SSU rRNA". It matches the Rfam family "Bacterial small subunit ribosomal RNA", at positions 43 to 524 of the family's 1533-position model. The record is from RNAcentral.
CAGGCCUCACACAUGCAAGUCGCACUCUCUCCUUCGGGGUCUCAUGGCGCACGGGUGCGUCACGCGUGGGCAUCUGCCCUUGGGUUCGGCAUCACAGUGGGCAACUCCUGCUCAUCCCGGAUGCUGCCGUUAAGUCCAAAGCUUUAUCGCCCAGGGAUGCGCCCGCGUCGGCUUAGCUAGUUGGUGGGGUCAAGGCCUACCAAGGCUCCUCUCCUUAGCUGGUCUGAUCGGAUGAUCAGCCACACUGGGAAUGAGCCACGGCCCAUACUCCUACGGGAGGCAGCAGUGGGGAAUAUUGGACAAUGGGCGAAAGCCUGAUCCAGCAAUGCCGCGUGAGUGAUGAAGGCCCUAGGGUUGUAAAGCUCUUUUACCCGGGAUGAUAAUGACAGUACCGGGAGAAUAAGCUCCGGCUAACUCCGUGCCAGCAGCCGCGGUAAU